AUUGAACGCUGGCGGCAGGCCUAACACAUGCAAGUCGAGCGGAUGAAGGGAGCUUGCUCCUGGAUUCAGCGGCGGACGGGUGAGUAAUGCCUAGGAAUCUGCCUGGUAGUGGGGGAUAACGUCCGGAAACGGGCGCUAAUACCGCAUACGUCCUGAGGGAGAAAGUGGGGGAUCUUCGGACCUCACGCUAUCAGAUGAGCCUAGGUCGGAUUAGCUAGUUGGUGGGGUAAAGGCCUACCAAGGCGACGAUCCGUAACUGGUCUGAGAGGUUGAUCAGUCACACUGGAACUGAGACACGGUCCAGACUCCUACGGGAGGCAGCAGUGGGGAAUAUUGGACAAUGGGCGAAAGCCUGAUCCAGCCAUGCCGCGUGUGCGAAGAAGGUCUUCGGAUUGUAAAGCACUUUAAGUUGGGAGGAAGGGCAGUAAGUUAAUACCUUGCUGUUUUGACGUUACCAACAGAAUAAGCACCGGCUAACUUCGUG
This 484-nucleotide ribosomal RNA is filed under the name uncultured bacterium. RNAcentral's name for it is "partial 16S ribosomal RNA". It matches the Rfam family "Bacterial small subunit ribosomal RNA", at positions 30 to 507 of the family's 1533-position model. The record is from RNAcentral.